AGUGAACGCUGGCGGUAGGCCUAACAUAUGCAAGUCGAACGGCAGCACAGUAAGAGCUUGCUCUUACGGGUGGCGAGUGGCGGACGGGUGAGGAAUACAUCGGAAUCUACUUUUUCGUGGGGGAUAACGUAGGGAAACUUACGCUAAUACCGCAUACGACCUACGGGUGAAAGCAGGGGACCUUCGGACCUUGCGCGAUUGAAUGAGCCGAUGUCGGAUUAGCUAGUUGGCGGGGUAAAGGCCCACCAAGGCGACGAUCCGUAGCUGGUCUGAGAGGAUGAUCAGCCACACUGGAACUGAGACACGGUCCAGACUCCUACGGGAGGCAGCAGUGGGGAAUAUUGGACAAUGGGCGCAAGCCUGAUCCAGCCAUACCGCGUGGGUGAAGAAGGCCUUCGGGUUGUAAAGCCCUUUUGUUGGGAAAGAAAAGCAGCAGGUUAAUACCCCGCUGUUCUGACGGUACCCAAAGAAUAAGCACCGGCUAACUUCGUG
Molecule: ribosomal RNA, 492 nt
Filed under: uncultured bacterium
Lineage: Bacteria
Description: partial 16S ribosomal RNA
Rfam family: Bacterial small subunit ribosomal RNA
Source: RNAcentral